GCGUCGCUACUGAAAGCAUCCGGCUCAACCGGGUGAGGGUAGCGAUACGUCCGAACUGGAGGCAAGGAGAGGUGUGCAGAAUUCCGGGUGUAGUGGUGAAAUGCGUAGAUAUCGCGGAGGAAUGUUCGGUGGGCGAAGGGCGGCAAACAACUGGUCUGUGACACUGACGCUUGAGGCACGAAGGCGUGGGGAGCAAACCGGAUUAGAUACCCGGGUAGUCCACGCAGUAAACGAUGUCGGCUCGGUGUAUCGUGGUGGCAACACCAUGGUGUGCCCAAGCUCACGCGGUAAGCCGACCGCCUGGGGACUACGAGCGCAAGCUUAAAACUCAAAGGAAUUGACGGGGGCCCGCACAAGCAGCGGAGCGUGUGGUUUAAUUCGACGCAACGCGAAGAACCUUACCCAGGUUUGACAUGCAGCUGCAAGCGCACGGAAACGUGUGACCUUCGAGGGUGCUGCACAGGUGCUGCAUGGCUGUCGUCAGCUCGUGUCGUGAGAUGUUGGGUUAAGUCCCGCAACGAGCGCAACCCUCGCCGUCAGUUACAAGUGUCUGGCGGGACAGCCCUCGCUAUGGGGGAGGAAGGCGGGGAUGACGUCAAGUCAGCAUGGCCCUUACGCCUGGGGCGACACACACGCUACAAUGCCGACCACAAUGCGCUGCAACCACGCAAGUGCAAGCUAAUCGCCAAAGGUCGGCUCAGUGCAGAUCGGGGGCUGCAACUCGCCCCCGUGAAGGCGGAGUUGCUAGUAACCGCGUAUCAGCCAUGGCGCGGUGAAUACGUACCCGGGCCUUGUACACACCGCCCGUCACGUCAUGGGAGUUGUAAUGCCUGAAGUCCGUGGGGUAACCUACGGGAGCCAGCGGCCGAGGGC
RNAcentral lists this ribosomal RNA (873 nucleotides) under uncultured organism. RNAcentral describes it as "bacterial SSU rRNA". It matches the Rfam family "Bacterial small subunit ribosomal RNA", at positions 585 to 1463 of the family's 1533-position model. The record is from RNAcentral.